Molecule: unclassified non-coding RNA, 402 nt
Filed under: soil metagenome
Description: partial contains 5.8S ribosomal RNA, internal transcribed spacer 2, and large subunit ribosomal RNA
Rfam family: 5.8S ribosomal RNA (bases 1-121)
Source: RNAcentral
GAUGAAGAACGCAGCGAAAUGCGAUAAGUAAUGUGAAUUGCAGAAUUCAGUGAAUCAUCGAAUCUUUGAACGCACCUUGCGCCCUUUGGCUAUUCCGAAGGGCAUGCCUGUUUGAGUAUCGUGAACACCUCAACUCUCAUGGUUUGCCAUGAUGAGCUUGGACUUUGGGGGAUUUGCUGGCCUUUGGUCGGCUCCUCUCAAACGGAUCAGCUUUCCAGUGUUUGGUGGCAUCACGGGUGUGAUAACUAUCUACGCCUGUGGUUUUCUGCCAGAUAACCUUCAGCGAUGGAGGUUCGCUGGGGCUCAUAAAUGUCUCUCUUCAGUGGAGACAGCUUUUUGGACGUUUGAUCUCAAAUCAGGUAGGACUACACGCUGAACUUAAGCAUAUCAAUAAGCGGAGGA